UGGGGAAUAUUGGACAAUGGGCGAAAGCCUGAUCCAGCCAUGCCGCGUGUGUGAAGAAGGUCUUCGGAUUGUAAAGCACUUUAAGUUGGGAGGAAGGGCAGUAAGCGAAUACCUUGCUGUUUUGACGUUACCGACAGAAUAAGCACCGGCUAACUCUGUGCCAGCAGCCGCGGUAAUACAGAGGGUGCAAGCGUUAAUCGGAAUUACUGGGCGUAAAGCGCGCGUAGGUGGUUCGUUAAGUUGAAUGUGAAAGCCCCGGGCUCAACCUGGGGACUGCAUCCAAAACUGGCGAGCUAGAGUAGGGCAGAGGGUGGUGGAAUUUCCUGUGUAGCGGUGAAAUGCGUAGAUAUAGGAAGGAACACCAGUGGCGAAGGCGACCACCUGGGCUCAUACUGACACUGAGGUGCGAAAGCGUGGGGAGCAAACAGG
Molecule: ribosomal RNA, 429 nt
Filed under: Pseudomonadota bacterium
Lineage: Bacteria; Pseudomonadati; Pseudomonadota
Description: Proteobacteria bacterium partial 16S ribosomal RNA
Rfam family: Bacterial small subunit ribosomal RNA
Source: RNAcentral